Molecule: long non-coding RNA, 629 nt
Filed under: Gossypium barbadense (sea-island cotton)
Lineage: Eukaryota; Viridiplantae; Streptophyta; Magnoliopsida; Malvales; Malvaceae
Description: long non-coding RNA (GBAR_LNC004447)
Source: RNAcentral
AUAUUUUUUCGGAAAUCCAAAAUACAAAUCCGAAGCCAAGAAAGAAUAAUAAUAAAAAAGAGAGAUGUGAGGAAAUGAUGAGUGGAGUUCUUGGGAGGGCUCAGAUCUGGAAGGGGCCUCGCCUGAAGCAGUAGCGACACGCGUUAAUGGCAGCCGUCAAAGCACUGAGUGGGGGAGACAGACAGAGAGGUAAGCUUUUUCUUUUUCUUUUUCUUUUUCUUUUUCUAUUUGGUUUGCUAUGAAUUUCUUUUUAAUAGACGGCUUAUUUAUUUAUUUAUUUGGUCUAAGACAAUGGACAGGUGGUUAUGCUCAAUCAUAGAUGUUCAAAGGUGAUGUGCUGUGUUGGUCUUCCUUUUCUUUCCUUUCUCCUCUUUUUAUUUUUAUUUUUUGUUUUUAUAUUCUUUUUAUAGAAUCUUUUUAAAUUUAUUUAAUUCGUGUUUAUAAAUUAAUUUUAGUUUAUAUUAUUUUUAAUUAUUAAUUCUAGGCAUAAUGUCAAAUUUUGUCUUUAAUAUUUUAUUUUUUUGAAGUUAAAUUUGUUCCUCAAUUUUUCAAAAAAAAAUUUAAUUUAAUUAUCAAGCUUUUAGAAAGUGUUAAAUUAUUUUUUUAAUUGAAAAUAUUUAUUAAAAUAU